GCUGGGCGUGGUGGCGCACUCCUGUAAUCCCAGCAGUUUGGGAUUGAGACAGGAGGAUCACGGGUUCAAAGCCAGCCUCAGCAAAAGCGAGGUGCUAAGCAACUCAGUGAGAUCCUGUCUCUA
This 123-nucleotide small RNA is filed under the name Marmota monax (woodchuck). The record is from RNAcentral. Lineage: Eukaryota; Metazoa; Chordata; Mammalia; Rodentia; Sciuridae.